ACUAGCAAUGGGGCAGAAACUUCUGCAGAAACAGGGACACAACACCCAGCACUCUCAGACCCGCAAGGUCUUCAGGACCUGAAGCUGUAGUAGCACUGCAGCCGUGGCCUUCUCUAGAGAAAGGCAGCCAUUACCAAGGUGCCGCCUGGCCAGGAGGCGGCACCCCAACUUUCAUCUCCUCCCUGCCUGCAUUCUCCAGCAGGUUAAGGCAGCUCAUGCAGAGCUCAUUUCCAAGGGGAAGUAACACCUGCCCCCCAACGCCACCUGCUGCCGCCACCUCCCUGCAUCUCCAGCUGCCAGGGGCUGACCAUAAGCCGCAGGAGCACGCUGAUUUCUCCAGGGGAAGAUGAGCGACCUGAUCCCAGAAAGCCCCUGUGCGUGGGAUGGAAAUUCUCCUGCAGAAAGGCCAUGAGAGACACCGGGAGAGGGCUGGGGGGGUGGUGGUGAGACAAAACCUUUCAGCCCCAGCUUGUUCAAGGAAAGGAAAAGAUCUGAAGAAUGCAGCCCGUGCUGAACACAGUCACCCGUCAGCCAAAGACCUUCUUUCUGGGCUUUACAUUUGACUUCAUUAUAUGCUUUGAUUUUCUGGGCUAGCAGACUGCUAUUAAUUAGUUUUUGUUUGGGUUAAUCCAGCUUUUCAUUCAGGGACUUAUUUUGUCCCACUAAGAGUUAAAGUUUGAAAAUGUCACUAACAACCUAGAUAAUUUAGUAUGGAAACCCUCAACAGUUAGGGACUUAUGACUAAUGAAUAAUAU
This is a long non-coding RNA of Fukomys damarensis (Damara mole-rat), 755 nucleotides long. RefSeq lists it as uncharacterized. The transcript has 2 exons. The record is from RefSeq and is a predicted model, not a curated record. Lineage: Eukaryota; Metazoa; Chordata; Mammalia; Rodentia; Bathyergidae.